GAGAAUAGCUUGCUAUUCGGCGUCGAGCGGCGGACGGGUGAGUAAUGCUUGGGAACGUGCCGUAAGGUGGGGGACAACCAUUGGAAACGAUGGCUAAUACCGCAUAAUCUCUACGGAGCAAAGGGGGCUUCGGCUCUCGCCUUAUGAUCGGCCCAAGUGGGAUUAGCUAGUUGGUGAGGUAACGGCUCACCAAGGCGACGAUCCCUAGCUGGUUUGAGAGGAUGAUCAGCCACACUGGAACUGAGACACGGUCCAGACUCCUACGGGAGGCAGCAGUGGGGAAUAUUGCACAAUGGGCGCAAGCCUGAUGCAGCCAUGCCGCGUGUGUGAAGAAGGCCUUAGGGUUGUAAAGCACUUUCAGUAAGGAGGAAAGGUUAGUAGUUAAUACCUGCUAGCUGUGACGUUACUUACAGAAGAAGCACCGGCUAACUCCGUGCCAGCAGCCGCGGUAAUACGGAGGGUGCGAGCGUUAAUCGGAAUUACUGGGCGUAAAGCGUACGCAGGCGGUUUGUUAAGCGAGAUGUGAAAGCCCCGGGCUCAACCUGGGAACUGCAUUUCGAACUGGCAAACUAGAGUGUGAUAGAGGGUGGUAGAAUUUCAGGUGUAGCGGUGAAAUGCGUAGAGAUCUGAAGGAAUACCGAUGGCGAAGGCAGCCACCUGGGUCAACACUGACGCUCAUGUACGAAAGCGUGGGGAGCAAACAGGAUUAGAUACCCCUGGUAGUCCACGCCGU
Molecule: ribosomal RNA, 733 nt
Filed under: Pseudoalteromonadaceae bacterium GUDS985
Lineage: Bacteria; Pseudomonadati; Pseudomonadota; Gammaproteobacteria; Alteromonadales; Pseudoalteromonadaceae
Description: bacterial SSU rRNA
Rfam family: Bacterial small subunit ribosomal RNA
Source: RNAcentral